Molecule: signal recognition particle RNA, 300 nt
Filed under: Saimiri boliviensis boliviensis (Bolivian squirrel monkey)
Lineage: Eukaryota; Metazoa; Chordata; Mammalia; Primates; Cebidae
Description: Metazoan signal recognition particle RNA (ENSSBOG00000010703.1)
Rfam family: Metazoan signal recognition particle RNA
About the family: The signal recognition particle (SRP) is a universally conserved ribonucleoprotein. It is involved in the co-translational targeting of proteins to membranes.
Source: RNAcentral
GCCGGGCAUGGUGGCCCGUGCCUGUAGUCCCAGCUACUCGGGAGGCUGAGGCUGGAGAAUCGUUUUGAGUCCAGCAGUUCUGGGCUGUAGUGUGCUAUGCUGAUGGGGUGUCUGCACUAAAUUCGGCAUCAAUAUGGUGACCUCCCGGGAGCGGGGCACCACCAGGUUGCCUAAGGAGGGGUGAACCAGCCCACGUCAGAAACGGAGCAGGUCAAAACUCCCUUGCUUAUCAGUAGUGGGAUCACACUUGUGAAUAGCCACUGCACUCCAGUCUGGGCAACAUAGCGAGACCCCAUCACU